CCUACGGGAGGCAGCAGUAGGGAAUUUUCCGCAAUGGGCGAAAGCCUGACGGAGCAAUACCGCGUGAGGGAUGACGGCCUGUGGGUUGUAAACCUCUUUUCUCAAGGAAGAAGUUCUGACGGUACUUGAGGAAUAAGCAUCGGCUAACUCUGUGCCAGCAGCCGCGGUAAUACAGAGGAUGCAAGCGUUAUCCGGAAUCACUGGGCAUAAAGCGUCUGUAGGUUGUUUAGUAAGUCUGCUGUUAAAGACUGGGGCUUAACCCCAGAAAAGCAGUGGAAACUGCUAGACUCGAGUGUGGUAGAGGUAGAGGGAAUUCCUAGUGUAGCGGUGAAAUGCGUAGAUAUUAGGAAGAACACCAAUGGCGAAGGCACUCUACUGGGCCAUAACUGACACUGAGAGACGACAGCUAGGGGAGCAAACGGGAUUAGAUACCCCGGUAGUCCUAGCCGUAAACGAUGGAUACUAGAUGUUGCACGUAUUAACCCGUGCAGUAUCGUAGCUAAGGCGUUAAGUAUCCCGCCUGGGAAAGUACGCUCGCAGAGUAGAAACGUAAAGGUAAGUUAGACGGCGUGAGACGUGCCGACGGACGACGACGAGGGAGGUAGG
RNAcentral lists this ribosomal RNA (606 nucleotides) under uncultured bacterium. Its description in RNAcentral is "bacterial SSU rRNA". It matches the Rfam family "Bacterial small subunit ribosomal RNA", at positions 338 to 1415 of the family's 1533-position model. The record is from RNAcentral.